This 253-nucleotide ribosomal RNA is filed under the name uncultured bacterium. RNAcentral's name for it is "partial 16S ribosomal RNA". It matches the Rfam family "Bacterial small subunit ribosomal RNA", at positions 524 to 776 of the family's 1533-position model. The record is from RNAcentral.
UACGAAGGGUGCAAGCGUUGUCCGGAAUUAUUGGGCGUAAAGAGCUCGUAGGCGGUCUGUCGCGUCUGCUGUGAAAACCUAGGGCUUAACUCUGGGCGUGCAGUGGGUACGGGCAGGCUAGAGUGCGGUAGGGGAGACUGGAAUUCCUGGUGUAGCGGUGAAAUGCGCAGAUAUCAGGAGGAACACCGGUGGCGAAGACGGGACUCUGGGCCGAUACUGACGCUGAGGAGCGAAAGCGUGGGGAGCGAACAGG